GGCCGUGGAGGCGCUGGCUUCCCCACUGGCCUCAAGUGGAGCUUCAUGAAUAAGCCCUCAGAUGGCAGGCCCAAGUAUCUGGUGGUGAACGCAGACGAGGGGGAGCCGGGCACCUGCAAGGACCGGGAGAUCAUACGCCAUGAUCCUCACAAGCUGGUGGAAGGCUGCCUGGUGGGGGGCCGGGCAAUGGGCGCCCGUGCUGCCUAUAUCUACAUCCGAGGGGAGUUCUACAAUGAGGCCUCCAAUCUGCAGGUGGCCAUCCGAGAGGCCUAUGAGGCAGGUCUGAUUGGCAAGAAUGCCUGUGGCUCUGGCUAUGAUUUUGACGUGUUUGUGGUGCGCGGGGCUGGGGCCUACAUCUGUGGAGAGGAGACAGCGCUCAUCGAGUCCAUCGAGGGCAAGCAGGGCAAGCCCCGCCUGAAGCCCCCCUUCCCCGCAGACGUGGGAGUGUUUGGCUGCCCCACAACUGUGGCCAACGUGGAGACAGUGGCAGUGUCCCCCACAAUCUGCCGCCGUGGGGGUACCUGGUUUGCUGGCUUUGGCAGAGAACGCAACUCAGGCACCAAACUAUUCAACAUCUCUGGCCAUGUCAACUACCCUUGCACUGUGGAGGAGGAGAUGUCUGUGCCCUUGAAAGAACUGAUUGAGAAGCAUGCUGGCACAGACAGGCCUGGGCACAGCCGCGGUGAUCGUCAUGGACCGCUCGACCGACAUCGUGAAAGCCAUCGCCCGCCUCAUUGAGUUCUAUAAGCACGAGAGCUGUGGCCAGUGUACCCC
RNAcentral lists this small RNA (774 nucleotides) under Pongo abelii (Sumatran orangutan). RNAcentral's name for it is "processed transcript". The record is from RNAcentral. Lineage: Eukaryota; Metazoa; Chordata; Mammalia; Primates; Hominidae.